RNAcentral lists this ribosomal RNA (1478 nucleotides) under Bacillus subtilis. Its description in RNAcentral is "bacterial SSU rRNA". It matches the Rfam family "Bacterial small subunit ribosomal RNA". The record is from RNAcentral. Lineage: Bacteria; Bacillati; Bacillota; Bacilli; Caryophanales; Bacillaceae.
GACGAACGCUGGCGGCGUGCCUAAUACAUGCAAGUCGAGCGGACAUUAGGGAAAGGCUUUCUCCUGAUGUUAGCGGCGGACGGGUGAGUAACACGUGGGUAACCUGCCUGUAAGACUGGGAUAACUCCGGGAAACCGGGGCUAAUACCGGAUGGUUGUUUGAACCGCAUGGUUCAAACAUAAAAGGUGGCUUCGGCUACCACUUACAGAUGGACCCGCGGCGCAUUAGCUAGUUGGUGAGGUAAUGGCUCACCAAGGCAACGAUGCGUAGCCGACCUGAGAGGGUGAUCGGCCACACUGGGAUUGAGACACGGCCCAGACUCCUACGGGAGGCAGCAGUAGGGAAUCUUCCGCAAUGGACGAAAGUCUGACGGAGCAACGCCGCGUGAGUGAUGAAGGUUUUCGGAUCGUAAAGCUCUGUUGUUAGGGAAGAACAAGUACCGUUCGAAUAGGGCGGUACCUUGACGGUACCUAACCAGAAAGCCACGGCUAACUACGUGCCAGCAGCCGCGGUAAUACGUAGGUGGCAAGCGUUGUCCGGAAUUAUUGGGCGUAAAGGGCUCGCAGGCGGUUUCUUAAGUCUGAUGUGAAAGCCCCCGGCUCAACCGGGGAGGGUCAUUGGAAACUGGGGAACUUGAGUGCAGAAGAGGAGAGUGGAAUUCCACGUGUAGCGGUGAAAUGCGUAGAGAUGUGGAGGAACACCAGUGGCGAAGGCGACUCUCUGGUCUGUAACUGACGCUGAGGAGCGAAAGCGUGGGGAGCGAACAGGAUUAGAUACCCUGGUAGUCCACGCCGUAAACGAUGAGUGCUAGUGUUAGGGGGUUUCCGCCCCUUAGUAGCUGCAGCUAACGCAUUAAGCACUCCGCCUGGGGAGUACGGUCGCAAGACUGAAACUCAAAGGAAUUGACGGGGGCCCGCACAAGCGGUGGAGCAUGUGGUUUAAUUCGAAGCAACGCGAAGAACCUUACCAGGUCUUGACAUCCUCUGACAAUCCUAGAGAUAGGACGUCCCCUUCGGGGGCAGAGUGACAGGUGGUGCAUGGUUGUCGUCAGCUCGUGUCGUGAGAUGUUGGGUUAAGUCCCGCAACGAGCGCAACCCUUGAUCUUAGUUGCCAGCAUUCAGUUGGGCACUCUAAGGUGACUGCCGGUGACAAACCGGAGGAAGGUGGGGAUGACGUCAAAUCAUCAUGCCCCUUAUGACCUGGGCUACACACGUGCUACAAUGGACAGAACAAAGGGCAGCGAAACCGCGAGGUUAAGCCAAUCCCACAAAUCUGUUCUCAGUUCGGAUCGCAGUCUGCAACUCGACUGCGUGAAGCUGGAAUCGCUAGUAAUCGCGGAUCAGCAUGCCGCGGUGAAUACGUUCCCGGGCCUUGUACACACCGCCCGUCACACCACGAGAGUUUGUAACACCCGAAGUCGGUGAGGUAACCUUUUAGGAGCCAGCCGCCGAAGGUGGGAAAAAGGAAUUGGGAGUGAA